CGUAGGUGGCAAGCGUUGUCCGGAUUAUUGGGUUAAAGGGUGCGUAGGCGGCUUUGUAAGUCAGUGGUGAAAUAUGGCAGCUUAACUGUCAGGGUGCCAUUGAUACUGCAGAGCUUGAGUACAGAUGAGGUAGGCGGAAUUGACGGUGUAGCGGUGAAAUGCUUAGAUAUCGUCAAGAACACCUAUAGCGAAGGCAGCUUACUAGGCUGUAACUGACGCUGAGGCACGAAAGUGUGGGGAUCAAACAGGAUUAGAUACCCUGGUAGUCCACACUGUAAACGUUGAUUACUCGCUGUGUGCGAUAUACAGUACGCGGCCAAGCGAAAGCGAUAAGUAAUCCACCUGGGGAGUACGCCGGCAACGGUG
Molecule: ribosomal RNA, 366 nt
Filed under: uncultured organism
Description: bacterial SSU rRNA
Rfam family: Bacterial small subunit ribosomal RNA
Source: RNAcentral